RNAcentral lists this ribosomal RNA (235 nucleotides) under uncultured bacterium. RNAcentral's name for it is "partial 16S ribosomal RNA". It matches the Rfam family "Bacterial small subunit ribosomal RNA", at positions 103 to 334 of the family's 1533-position model. The record is from RNAcentral.
CGGGUGAGUAACACGUAUGCAAUCCACCUGUAGCAGGGGGAUAACCCGGAGAAAUCCGGACUAAUACCCCAUAAUAUGGGCGCUCCGCAUGGAGAGCCCAUUAAAGAGAGCAAUUUUGGUCACAGACGAGCAUGCGCUCCAUUAGCCAGUUGGCGGGGUAACGGCCCACCAAAGCGACGAUGGAUAGGGGUUCUGAGAGGAAGGUCCCCCACAUUGGAACUGAGACACGGUCCAA